Long non-coding RNA from Phlebotomus argentipes, 320 nucleotides. RefSeq lists it as uncharacterized. The record is from RefSeq and is a predicted model, not a curated record. The transcript is spliced from 3 exons. Lineage: Eukaryota; Metazoa; Arthropoda; Insecta; Diptera; Psychodidae.
CAGUUGAUGCCGAACAAUCGAUCACAAAAGACUUAGCAAAAAAAAGGGAUCAGAAUGAAAUUUAUCGCAGUAGCAAUCGUCCUCUUGGCAAUAAUUGGAUCAGUUCUGUGUGAACCUCAAAUAAGUCAGAAUUCAGACUCCAGGAAUUCAAUUAAUGGACCCGCCGGUUAUGAUGGAGGAUGGUCCCCCUAUAUGUAUGGCGGAGGCGCAGGUCCAGCACCCAUGAGACGAUACGUACCUGUGAAUAGGUACGCCAAUCCAUGUCAAUAUUGAGAUAAAUUAAAUGUCCCGAAUUUCUGAAUAAAGAAUUCCGAAGCAUA